GAUUAAGUUAUUAAGGGCGCACGGUGGAUGCCUUGGCACUAGAAGCCGAUGAAGGACGUUACUAACGACGAUAUGCUUUGGGGAGCUGUAAGUAAGCUUUGAUCCAGAGAUUUCCGAAUGGGGAAACCCAGCAUGAGUUAUGUCAUGUUAUCGAUAUGUGAAUACAUAGCAUAUCAGAAGGUACACCCGGAGAACUGAAACAUCUUAGUACCCGGAGGAAGAGAAAGAAAAUUCGAUUCCCUUAGUAGCGGCGAGCGAAACGGGAAGAGCCCAAACCAACAAGCUUGCUUGUUGGGGUUGUAGGACACUCUAUACGGAGUUACAAAGGACGACAUUAGACGAAUCAUCUGGAAAGAUGAAUCAAAGAAGGUAA
Molecule: ribosomal RNA, 373 nt
Filed under: Staphylococcus aureus
Lineage: Bacteria; Bacillati; Bacillota; Bacilli; Caryophanales; Staphylococcaceae
Description: partial 23S ribosomal RNA
Rfam family: Bacterial large subunit ribosomal RNA
Source: RNAcentral